Molecule: ribosomal RNA, 433 nt
Filed under: uncultured bacterium
Lineage: Bacteria
Description: partial 16S ribosomal RNA
Rfam family: Bacterial small subunit ribosomal RNA
Source: RNAcentral
AGCGAACGCUGGCGGCAGGCUUAACACAUGCAAGUCGAGCGGGCCCUUCGGGGUCAGCGGCAGACGGGUGAGUAACACGUGGGAACGUACCCUUUGGUUCGGAAUAACGCUGGGAAACUAGCGCUAAUACCGGAUACGCCCUUUGGGGGAAAGGCUUGCUGCCGAAGGAUCGGCCCGCGUCUGAUUAGCUAGUUGGUGGGGUAAUGGCCUACCAAGGCGACGAUCAGUAGCUGGUCUGAGAGGAUGAUCAGCCACACUGGGACUGAGACACGGCCCAGACUCCUACGGGAGGCAGCAGUGGGGAAUAUUGGACAAUGGGCGCAAGCCUGAUCCAGCCAUGCCGCGUGAGUGAUGAAGGCCUUAUGGUUGUAAAGCUCUUUUGUCCGGGACGAUAAUGACGGUACCGGAAGAAUAAGCCCCGGCUAACUUCGUG